AUGAACGCUGGCGGCGUGCCUAAUACCUGCAAGUCGAGCGAACAGACGAGGAGCUUGCUCCUCUGACGUUAGCGGCGGACGGGUGAGUAACACGUGGAUAACCUACCUAUAAGACUGGGAUAACUUCGGGAAACCGGAGCUAAUACCGGAUAAUAUAUUGAACCGCAUGGUUCAAUAGUGAAAGACGGUUUUGCUGUCACUUAUAGAUGGAUCCGCGCCGCAUUAGCUAGUUGGUAAGGUAACGGCUUACCAAGGCAACGAUGCGUAGCCGACCUGAGAGGGUGAUCGGCCACACUGGAACUGAGACACGGUCCAGACUCCUGCGGGAGGCAGCAGUAGGGAAUCUUCCGCAAUGGGCGAAAGCUUGACGGAGCAACGCCGCGUGAGUGAUGAAGGUCUUCGGAUCGUAAAACUCUGUUAUUAGGGAAGAACAAAUGUGUAAGUAACUAUGCACGUCUUGACGGUACCUAAUCAGAAAGCCACGGCUAACUACGUG
Molecule: ribosomal RNA, 496 nt
Filed under: uncultured bacterium
Lineage: Bacteria
Description: partial 16S ribosomal RNA
Rfam family: Bacterial small subunit ribosomal RNA
Source: RNAcentral